GGCAUUGAUGGUCCUCGUUCCUGUAACUGGUCCUGUGGACACAGCCACUUUCUUCCACUGCCCAUUCUGUGGUCUUGUGGCCUUCAGCAGGCACCUCACUGGUUGUGGUUCUUUCUGGUGAGGUAAAGUAAAAAAGAAGUUGGUAGCACAUUUGAUUAACAAGUGUCUUAAGAUUUAUUUCUAAGGUAGAAAAGUAUGAUCAGUUGUUUAUAAAUCCAAAAGUAAUAAUACAUGCUGGGUUUAAGAAUUUGAAAAUGGGAAUGAGGUGAGAGGAGGAGGAGGUCUUGCCCCUCCACCCCAGUUGGAGCCCCACAGGAACGUUGUAGCACGUGCCGUAUAGUUGUGAUGCCCACGGUCGGAGCCCCACGGGAGCAUUGUAGCAUGCGCUGUAUAGUUGUGCGUUGUAGCGUGCGCUGUGUAGUUGUGAUGCCCACAGGCUUCCUUGCAUUUCUCUCCAGCUCUGCUAGCCACGAACACUUCAAGUCUGCACUUCACAUGCUUGCUUGCCUGUGCAUGUUACGCACGCUCAGCAACUUAGUUCCACGUUUGGGAUGAGUUGAGUUCCCUGACGUAGAAUUGCUGGGUUGAGGGUUUUUUAUAAUAAAAAUAUUGGUUUUAUUUUGGGGGCUGAAGGUUUUAAAAGCUUAAUACAUACUUCUAGAUUGCUUUUCAAAACGACAGAAACCAGCACGUGAUAAGUAGCUCUUACUUGAAAUAAGGACUUGUCUGAUCUCAAGUGGCAACUUUUAACUGGUCUUUAAAUAUUAUAAAUAUUGAAAUUAUUUUAAUGUUUCUUAGCACUGUUUCUGUUAUAAAUGAGACUUCAUUUUUAGGGUAAUUUGUGAUUUUAAUGUUUGAAAUUAUACGAGUUAAAAUUCAGUGAAUACCUGAAUUGUGAAAAAUUAUAUUUAAGCUACAAAAUGUCAGUAGAGAAAUAAACAAGAUAAAGAUUUUUUUUCAUACAAGAAAAUGGAACGGAAAAGCAUUGGCCUUCUCAUAACAUAGUACUCAGCCAGCUUUUGAGGUAGCUUCUGUAGAUGAUGAUAUAAUUAUGAAUGUCAUUGUCUUAAUUUAGCUUAGAAUGCAAACCAGUUAAAAUCACUUGGUUAGUACUGUUACCACUGAGACACGGGUUCAAGAUGCAUGUAAAAGGUCAGUGCCUUGUGGACAACUUCUAAGGGUUUAGUUGCCAUGAAUUUAAAGAAAUUGUAACUAAACCAAUGUUUUAGCAUUGGUAAAUGGGAAAUUGCGGAAGGAUGUAAACGUAGAGUUUACAACUUGGCUUAGGGACUCAGAUAUGGACAGUGAGACUGGCCACAUGAGUGCCUUUCUCACUGUCACACUCUUACCCAGGUUGGAGUGCAGUGGCUGUCGACAGGUGUGAUCAUAGCUCCCUGCAGCCUUGAAUUCCUGGGCUCAAGCAGUCCUGCCUCAGCCUCCCAAGGAGGUGGGACUAAAGAUGGUGUGCCACCACACCUGGCUAAUUUUUAAAUUUAUUGUAGAGAAGGGGUCUUGCUAUGUUGCCCAGGUUGGUCUUGAACCCCUGACCUCCAGGGAUCUCUCCUGCCUUGGCCUCCUCAGGAGCUGGAACUACAGAUAUAUGCUAAUGUCCUCAAUUUAUGGAAAUGCAGAAAUGCCUUUUUUUUUUUUUUUUUUUUUUUGAGAUGGACUCAUGUUCUGCUGCCCAGGCUGGAGUGCUGUGGUGCGAUCUUAGCUCACUGUAUCCUCCACCUCCGGGGUUCAAGCAAUUUUCGUGCCUCAGCCUCCUGGGUAGCUGAGACUACAGAUGCCCACCACCACUCCUGGCUGACUUUUUUGUAUUUUUAGUAGAGACAGGGUUUUACCAUGUUGGCCAGGCUGGUCUCAAACUCCUGACCUCAAGUGAUCUGCCCGCCUCGGCCUCCCAAAGUACUGGGAUUAUAGCUGUGAGCCACUGCACCCUCCCGGAAAUGCUUUUUAACGGUCACCUCCUAGGGGAGAUGAAGAGAGUUACCACAUAAUCAGUUUCAACUGUAUUUGUAAUGUUUGUUUCUUUACCUGGGAGGAUAUGUUGUAGAUAUGUCAGAUAGAAUACCUAACUGACACAAUGGUGUGCAGGCUAUGGCUGCAAAGUAGAAAGUUUCUAAAUAGCAUGCUUGGAUUUUUAUUUGAAUUGGAUGAAGUUUUUAUGUCCUAGAGAAAUUCACAAAAUGUUAUAAAAGGUUAUGAUUUAACAUCUUUGCUUUUGUUCUUUCUUGUCUUUGAAUAGAACAGUGGGGGACGGUAAGGUCUGUUUGCAAAGUACCUAUGACCAUCUUACAUUAUUUUUAUGGGUGGGGGGCAUUGACUGUGAAAUGUGGGCAGUAACUUGCACAGUCAGUAACCGUUUGAGUAACUUCUUGUUGGCAUCCCCAUUCUGGCACUCCUCCUCUAUGUCUCCACCUCACACGCUGGUUUGUGGGCGGAGGGGCAGGUUGGUGCGUGGGGUGUCCGGGCACUGGCUAUGCAUGCCUUCUUCCUCUUCUGUCUCUUGGCCACCUUUUCCAAAAAGUCAGCAGUGACCAAUUCUCCCAGUGUUUCUUUGGGACUCAAUGCCUUGGGCUUGGCAUUGGGUAAAGCCGACUGGCCAGUUUCAUUCUGACGAGCUCUAUAGUAGUCCCGUGUGGACCUCUGCCCUCCCUGCUCUGCGGAAGCUUCCUCAGCCUUUGCUUCUCACUAUUUACUAUUUGCGGGUCCUGGGGGUACCCAGCGUCUCAGGGUUUUGGCUGCCCACCUGUACGUCGGUCCUUUCAAACUGUGGUCAGAGUCAACCUCAGGUGCUGCUUUUCUCUAGUCACUGAAUUUUUUUUUUAGUAGAGACAAAAGUCUUGCUGUGUUGUCCAGCCUGGAUUCAAACUCCUGAGCUCAAGGAAUCCUCUCACUCAGCCUCCAGAGUAGCUGGAUCAAGUCACUCUUGUUCAUAACCUCAGUUGCUUCAUGAAUCUCGAUUUCUGCUUGAUUUCAGUGCUUGCUGUUGUAUCCUUGUGUGCUGCAGUAUUUAUUGUUAACAUUUGUGACUCAAAUGUAUCCACUCCCUGCUUUGGUUGCUCUGGCCUGCAAGUAGGCCGUACUAAUUCUGUAGUUGGUCCUGGCUUGCCUUUGUCUUUACCUUGCAUGCGUUUAUGUCUUAAUGCACCUAUUAGGAUUCCUUGCUUUUAUCACAGGUUUCCCAUUUUUCUGAAAAAAUUACAGUAAUUAUUAACGCAGAACCCGGGUAAAUUAAAAAGGUUUGUAUGCUUUAUGAAUUUUUAGUAAGUACUCAUUGAUUGAUAACAGCAACAGAGGAAAACAAAACGGUCAGUUCCGAUCUUGAUUUCCAGGAGCACUUUGUGUUUCCACUUGGCAGCGUGAUGCUUCCUCAUGUCGGUGAUUUUCUGUUGAGACAUCUUCAAGCAUCAUCUUACGUCUGCUUGUUAACAUUUGUUCAGAUUUGAUUUCAGCUAAUCCUUAAAAGUUUUUUGAGACAUCAAACUUAGAAUAAAAGGAAUUUCCUUUGCCGAGAUUCAUCAGGUAUUUACACUUAGCUUACAUGGCCACACCAUUCCUCGUGUGUGUGUGUGCGCGCGCGCGCAUGUUAGGGUAAUCCAUUUUUCUGUUUGUUUCUGAAUUGCUUUGGAGAAGGCAACUCAGACUCCAAGGAAUACAACAGCUGCCGUGUGAAGCUUUUCUCACUUUUCCAGUGGUCGUAGCAGGAACAGCGUCUUGACCUCAAAUCAGUGACGUGAAAAGAGCUGAGUUUGAAGUGCAUAUUGGUCCUCCAUAAAGAAUGUGUGUAUGUGCUGUUUUUUAAAUUAAGUCUGGUAAUUUAUUUGAUAUAAUGUAUUGUAGUUUUAGUUGAAUUAAACUAGUUAGUAAAACUGUUGGUGAGGUAGUGUUUCAGUUACUCUGUAGAUAAGCUCUUUUGUUAAAACCUCUUAAGUUUUUUGUUCCUGAAUAUGUUACAAACAUCUAUUUUCUCUUACUGUAGCUAUCACAUGAGGAAAAAAACUUGAAAAAAAGACUUCACAGUGUGUGUUUAUGUUUGAUUUUAGAAGACCCUUUUGAGGACUUCUUUGGGAAUCGAAGGGGUCCCCGAGGAAGCAGAAGCCGAGGGACGGGGUCAUUUUUCUCCGCGUUCAGUGGAUUUCCGUCUUUUGGAAGUGGAUUUUCUUCUUUUGAUACAGGAUUUACUUCAUUUGGGUCACUAGGUCAUGGGGGCCUCACUUCAUUCUCUUCCACGUCAUUUGGUGGUAGUGGCAUGGGCAACUUCAAAUCGAUAUCAACUUCAACUAAAAUGGUUAAUGGCAGAAAAAUCACUACAAAGAGAAUUGUCGAGAACGGUCAAGAAAGAGUAGAAGUUGAAGAAGAUGGCCAGUUAAAGUCCUUAACAAUAAAUGGUAAGGAGCAGCUGCUGCGCUUGGAUAACAAGUAAUUCAACGCACGCACUUAACAGAAAUGUUAAACUAUAACAAGCACCAUUUGAGGAUUAACAGGAACAUUUUUUUGAAGAUUUCAAACGAACUCGACUUUCAGUAUAAUUGUACCUAAAGUAUUUAUAAACAGCUCAUCGGAGCCUCUAUUUGUCAUAGACUUUUGAGUUGAUUGUUGGGACCACAUAAUAGGACCAUUUUUUUUUUUUGUCUUUAAAAUUGUUGUAAAUCUCUGUAUGCACUUUGCUUUUUUAUUAAACGUACUCCAAGGUGAGUCUUGACUCUUUAGUGUAGGACAAGAUUGUACACUAACACCAGCAUGGACCUGCUUUUCAUUGUGUCUGAAAUGUGAGCCACGUAGUGUCGGCCUGCUGUGAAGUUAACAUUGCCAGGACGAUUCUUCUACAGAAAUAAUUUCAAUUUUUUUCAGUAUUUAGUAGUGAAAGAUAUUAAUACAUUAAUGGUAAUACAUUUCUGGUUUAAUAUAAAUUAAGGAUGUUUUCUAGUUGUGCAUGAAUGCUGGCAACUUAGUAAGUUUUGACAAUUGUUUAAAUAUGUAAUGUUAAGCUUAGGUUUAAAAAAGUAAAGCUGGUAAACUGGGUCUUUGUCAUUUGCUUUUAAAAAAAAAAAAAAAAAAAGAAAAUAAAUGCGAAUGUGUUGGUGCAUUCUUCCUGAGUGGGA
Molecule: small RNA, 5108 nt
Filed under: Pan troglodytes (chimpanzee)
Lineage: Eukaryota; Metazoa; Chordata; Mammalia; Primates; Hominidae
Description: retained intron
Source: RNAcentral